Molecule: long non-coding RNA, 1060 nt
Filed under: Lynx pardinus (Iberian lynx)
Lineage: Eukaryota; Metazoa; Chordata; Mammalia; Carnivora; Felidae
Source: RNAcentral
GCUUUCCUCUCCUGCUAAGCUUUGUUUCCUGGCAGUAAUUAAAACCUUCUCCCACUGCCAUAGCUACUGCUGCUGCUGGAACUGCCAUAGCCACCUUGGUUUUGUGGUUUGGCAAAGUAUUGGCCUCCACCACCAUAGGGGCCAGAGCUUCUGCCUCCAAAAUUUCCUCCUUUCAUGGGUCCAAAAUUUGAAGAUUGAUUGUUGUAAUUGCCAAAAUCAUUAUAGCUUCCACCACCUCCAAAGUUGCUUCCAUCGUUACCAAAUCCGUUAUAGCCAUCCCCACUGCCACCAUAUCCACCACCACCUCGACUGCCGCCAAAGCCACCUUGCCCACUGAAGUUUCCUCCAUGGCCAAAGUUGUCAUUCCCACCAAAACCACCUCCACGACCACCACCAAAGUUCCCAGAACCACUUCAACCUCUUUGGCUGGAAGAAGCGCUAGCCAUCUCUUGCUUAGAUAAAGCUUUCCUUACUUCACAGUUGUGGCCAUUCACAGUAUGGUAUUUUUGAAUGACAAUCUUGUCUACAGAGUCAUGGUCGUCAAAGGUCACAAAAGGAAAGCCUCUCUUUUUGCCACUGCCUUGGUCAGUCAUGAUUUCAAUCACUUCAAUUUUCCCAUACAGUUCAAGAUAAUCUCUUAGAUGAUGUUCCUCAGUGUCUUCUUUAAUGCCACCAUAAAAAUCUUUUUCACAGUUAAGUGGGCACCAGGUCUUUGAGAAUCUUCUCUCGAGACAGCCCUCUUUGGUUCCACAACUCUUCCAUCCACCUUGUGUGGCCUUGCAUUCAUGGCUGCAUCCACCUCUUCCACAGUAGCAGAGGUGACAAACCCAAAGCCUCUGGAGCGCUUGGUGUUUGGAUCUCUUAUUACCACACAGUCUGUAAUCGUUCCCCAUUGCUCAAAAUGGCUCCUCAGACUCUCAUUGGUUGUUUCAAAGCUCAAACCUCCAAUGAAAAGCUUCCGCAGCUGUUCAGGCUCUUUGGGAGACUCUGACUUAAACAUGACGACGGUGGGAGGGGAGACUUUCACGAUGCUUACUCCGCGGCGUCCACAGGCAGAAAG